UCUUUGUUGCCACGGUCAACCAAUAGCCGAAGCCUAUGAUUUUUUGUUUUCAAUUCAAAACGUUGUAAUGAUUGUGGAGCGUACGCAGGCAAAAAGGCCCAGAUGCCCAACAUGUAAUGUCUUUAAGUUUUAUACCUUGUUUCUUACAAAGAUCAAUGGUAAUUAUCUAAACAUGACUUAAUGUGUUGUUAGAUAUUAAAAUGCAUUUAAAUUUAUAGAUAACCAAUUAAUACUUCAAUAUUUGUCAAUACAUAUUAAGCGCAAAUAUUAUUACGGCGGGAUCACUUGAAACGGCCCUGUAAAGCUCGAUGUGUCGAAAAAUUGAUGGCCGCCUGUGCGACGCUACAUUGCGUUGUUGGUAGAACAUCGGCAUGCCGUAAAUAUGUAUGAAUAUAUAUGAGCAUGCAAACAUAUCGACAUAAAUUUUUGCCAGUCACAGAAUUUUUGCUGAAAAAUAUUUUAAAUCGACUCAAGGGCUAUGUUGCCACUUUUCUCCCUAGGUUUUUGCGGCGUUGCAACUUUUCCUUCUCGAAGGAACAUUACAAAAAUCUUCAAUUUAUGAUUUUUGUCAUCGUCGCGAAAAGGCGUUUGUUGGCAAGGCAUGCGCGGGGAGAUGUGUAUGGCGCUGCUUUUAUGAAUGAAGCAACUUUGCCAAGUGAAUGUGCGCCUGCGUUCAUGAAUGAAAAUGUUUUUGUUGUGUUUACUACAAUAUUUGGCUACGUCGAUUGGCUGCCAUAUUGACUUGUGAUGCUGCUUAUGCGUUUGAGGCGCUUGUUGUUUUUGUAGAACAAUGCUUUUGAUUUUUUGUGGUGGUUGACAAACUUACGUGCACGCAUAUGCAAAUGUAAGUUUGUGUGUUUGUUCAGUGACAUGCAAACAUAUGUAUGUAUGUAUGUAGAUAUAUGUAUACAGAGCAGUGCGUGCACAUGUGACAUGACCACUGACCACACUGAUAAGUGAUAAUGAUACUAUUCGAAUUUUUGAGGACAUACAUAUGUAUCUACAUAUGUACACACGUAAAUGCUUAUGUAUAUAGAUAUAUGUACAUAUGCAUAUGCAAGUUUAAGUUAUGAAAUAUGUUGUUUAUUUUAGUAUUAUACGAAAUGUAUUAUUAUAAACAUAUUUUUCAUGAAAGUAUGUAUUUACAACCAUAGGUAUAUAUAUAUGUAUGUACAUAGUUUUAUUCCGACCAUUUCUAUACUCCACAUAAGCUGUUUUAUUUUCAAUUAAAAUUCGAAAGUUUUGUCAGAAAUUUACAAGAUUUUUACGUUGUUUUGACUACAUGAAUGCCAAGGAAAUAUUGUAGUCAUUUGAAAUUUCAGCUUGCAAAUUCAUUUCGCAGAGAAAGUUUGUUCAUUAAAAAUAUGGAUUUUAAACAUCUGAGUGAUUAUCGUCUUUUAUAUAAUGUAAGUGAAGUAAGUAAGGUAAAUAUCAACAGGCUGUGACACGAAACCACCAGUCGUUGUGGAAAUUGCUCCAAAGACUGAUGAGUUUGAUUUCGCUGUGGGAUUGUCGGACAUAGAGAUACCUCAAACAGAUGAUGAGAAUGGUACAGACAUCUCUGCAGGAUCGUCGGACGAGUAUGUCCCCGAUUCGGAUGAUAAAGACAGCAGAUGUAGUUUUAGAAGAAAUCGCAGACUAUGGUGAUACUUAUAUCAAUAACAAGAAUGAAAAUGGUAGAAAUAUACUUACGCGGAAGAGAAAGAUUGAAAGUCAUAAAUAGGUGCAGAAUAAAAGGAAGUAUCAUCGCAACAAAGGGAACCCGUAUAUCACUAAGAGUGGCAAAAGAGUUGAAGAACGUGUUCCGAAACCCAUUGACUGUAAGUGCCGCCAUAAUUGCACAGAAAACUUCUCAGAAGAAGAGCGCACAGAGGUCAAUGCAGAAUAUUGGAAUUUAGGCGACUAUUCGAGGCAGCGACUGUUCCUGUCCAAUUGCGUGAAAAUUGAGAAGUGCAAAAGGACGUUGACAAUUGGAUCACGGCAGGCGAACACAUUUAAUUAUACUCUCAAAGCCAAACAGGUAUGCAAGAAGUUUUUUUUAAACACUUUGAACUUGUCAGACGGCGCAAUAUCUGUGUUAGCGAAGAAGAUGUGCCAAAAUGAAUUUACUGAUAAGAGGGGUCAACAUGGCCACCAGAGAAAAUUAGACGAAGAGCCAGUUGCGCUUAUCAAACAGCACAUCAAGUCAUUUCCAGCCGUCGAAAGCCAUUACACUCGAGCAAAAAAGUCAACGACUUUAUUUUGCCUCCGACUUAACAAUAUCAAAAAUGUACGAUUUAUUCAAAGAACUCCACCCGGACGCUAUCAUUAAAGAAAACUUUUAUCGCCGGAUAUUUUGCAUGAAUUAUAAUUAUUCUUUCCACCGUCCAAAAAAGGACACCUGCUUAACAUGGGAGAGGUACAAAAACGCUGAGGACAAAGACUCAUUUCAGAAAUCCUAUGAUGAACACAUCUUAACAACCAAACUGACAAGGAAUCAGCUAAAAGUAACAGUAGUUUAAAAGUGUUUACUUUUGACCUCCAGUCAGUGUUAACGACUCCUUGUAGCAACGUAAGCACGAUGUAUUACAGUCGAAAGUUCGCCACGUAUAAUAACGCAUUUUACGACAUUGCCAGUCGAGGUUACUGUUUUCUAUGGGAUGAAAAUCAGGGUCAACGAGGAUAGGACGAAAUUGGGACCACAAUAUGGAAAAUGAUGAACUCGUUAGACGAAUCGGUAACCGAUGUUAUUCUCUACUCAGACUGCUGCGGGGGACCAAACAGAAACAGGUUCAUUGCUACACUAUUGAUUUAUAUCAACAAUACCUCGAAGCUUAAUUCGAUAACAAUUAAGUACCUCCAAAUCGGACACACACAAAUGGAGGCAGAUUCGAUGCACUCUGCAAUAGAACAUGCGAAGAGAAGUAUAUGCGUUUAUUCGCCGGAAGAAUGGCCAACUAUAAUGAGACUGGCAAGACGGAAAAACCCAUAUGAUGUAGAGAGGCUUCAAUAGAGUGAUAUGAUUGAUCUCAAAGCCAUGUUGUCGAGUUUAGGCCAUAGCCUUAAGAAAAAUAUAAAAAAUGGCUCGGUAAAUUGGCUUAAUGUUAAAUUACUCCAAGUGAACAAAAUUCAACGACAACAAUUAUUAUACAAGGGGGAAUGGGAUGGAGACUUGAAAGUAAUUGAUAUUGGAGGAACGUGAAAAACAAAAGAGAUGUUCAACUUUUCUUUUACUGGCAAAUACCCCAAAGUGUAUUCAACAAAGUGAACUAUGUAUAUGACAUUUCAUUUUUUUUACCCAAAUUUGACAUGUUUGUUGCCAUUGAUUUAACCUUUACAUUUAUUCCAAAAUUAAAAUUUUGAAAUUCAAAAGUAAAAAAAUUUUAAACCAAAAAAAAUAUUUUUUAAAUGAAUAAAAGAAAAUGCCGAAUACUUUAUGCUUAUGCAAAACAACUCAUGGAAGCAAUUUACUAAUGUUAUGUGCUCCAACUGACAAAUUGCAAACAAUUUUAUCAAUAUAUAUUAUAUUGUUCAAGAUAAAAAAGACGGGUUAAUUUAAACAAAUACAUGAAUUGUUUACUAUUUUAUUGUCAAAAACGGGUAUGUCAAAUACUUAGUUCACUUUGUUGAAUACACUUUGAAUAACCCAAAUUGGAAAGUAAUGAAUAAUGCCACUGAAUUAACAAAACUAUGAAAUAAUUACUUUUAUAAUGUUACAAAUUGAUAUUUUUGAGAUCAAAUAUUUUAAUAAAAAUACCGUAAAAUUAUUGACAAAAUAAAAUAGUGUAUCAGAUACAUCAUACGAAUUCCUUAAAAAAUAAAAUGGCCUAUAUGGAGGACCUGCGCUUUGAAUAACAUAAUUAUGGUCUUAAAGGAUGCGUAGAAUAAAAAAAACUUGGUAAAUUUAAAGACAAGAAACGGUAUAAUGUACUCAUCGACGCGAA
Long non-coding RNA from Zeugodacus cucurbitae (melon fly), 3923 nucleotides. RefSeq lists it as uncharacterized. NCBI's taxonomy places the organism in Eukaryota, Metazoa, Arthropoda, Insecta, Diptera, Tephritidae. The record is from RefSeq and is a predicted model, not a curated record. The transcript is spliced from 2 exons.